This 238-nucleotide ribosomal RNA is filed under the name Staphylococcus aureus. Its description in RNAcentral is "partial 16S ribosomal RNA". It matches the Rfam family "Bacterial small subunit ribosomal RNA", at positions 446 to 676 of the family's 1533-position model. Lineage: Bacteria; Bacillati; Bacillota; Bacilli; Caryophanales; Staphylococcaceae. The record is from RNAcentral.
AGAACAUAUGUGUAAGUAACUGUGCACAUCUUGACGGUACCUAAUCAGAAAGCCACGGCUAACUACGUGCCAGCAGCCGCGGUAAUACGUAGGUGGCAAGCGUUAUCCGGAAUUAUUGGGCGUAAAGCGCGCGUAGGCGGUUUUUUAAGUCUGAUGUGAAAGCCCACGGCUCAACCGUGGAGGGUCAUUGGAAACUGGAAAACUUGAGUGCAGAAGAGGAAAGUGGAAUUCCAUGUGU